RNAcentral lists this ribosomal RNA (301 nucleotides) under uncultured bacterium. Its description in RNAcentral is "partial 16S ribosomal RNA". It matches the Rfam family "Bacterial small subunit ribosomal RNA", at positions 509 to 807 of the family's 1533-position model. The record is from RNAcentral.
CAGUCGCCACGGUAAUACGUAGGUGGCAAGCGUUGUCCGGAAUUAUUGGGCGUAAAGGGCUCGCAGGCGGUUUCUUAAGUCUGAUGUGAAAGCCCCCGGCUCAACCGGGGAGGGUCAUUGGAAACUGGGAAACUUGAGUGCAGAAGAGGAGAGUGGAAUUCCACGUGUAGCGGUGAAAUGCGUAGAGAUGUGGAGGAACACCAGUGGCGAAGGCGACUCUCUGGUCUGUAACUGAAGCUGAGGAGCGAAAGCGUGGGGAGCGAACAGGAUUAGAUACCCCAGUAGUCCCUGUCUCUUAUAC